CGUGUCCCAUGCGUGUCUAUGUGUGUCCCAUGUGAGUCCGUGUGUGUCCCAUGUUGUCACGUGUGUCCACGUGUGUCCCGUGUGUGUGAGUCCAUGUGUGUCCCGUGUUGUCACGUGUGUCCACGUGUGUCCCAUGUGAGUCCAUGUGCGUCCCAUGUUGUCACGUGUUGACACGUGUUGUCACGUGUGUGUGAGUCCAUGUGUGUCCCAUGUUGUCACGUGUGUCCAUGUGUGUCCACGUGUGUCCACGUGUGUCCCAUGUGAGUCCAUGUGUGUCCCAUGUUGUCACGUGUCCAUGUAUGUCCCAUGUCAGUCCAUGCGUGUCUCAUGUGAGUCCAUGUGCAUCCCAUGUUGUCACGUGUGUCCAUGUAUGUCCCAUGUGAGUACAUGCGUGUCCCAUGUGUCCUCAUGUGCAUCCCAUGUUGUCAGACGUGUGCCAUGUGUGUCCACGUGUGUCCCAUGUCCCCACACAUGUGCUGUGCUACAUGCAUGUGCUGUUACACGUGUGUCCACGUGUGUCCCGUGUGUGUGAGUCCAUGUGUGUCCCAUGCUGUCACGUGUGCCCAUGUAUGUCCCAUGUGAGUCCAUGUGUGUCCCAUGUGAGUCCAUGUGCAUCCCAUGUUGUCACGUGUGUCCAUGCGUGUCCCAUGUGAGUCCAUGCGUGUCCAUGUGUGUUCCAAGUGAGUCCAUGUGAGUUCAUACAUGUCCCAUGUUGUCAAGUGUUUCCAUGUGUGUCCCAUGCCAGUCCAUGCGUGUCCCGUGUUGUCACGUGUGUCCAUGUGUGUCCCAUGUGAGUCCAUGUAUGUCCCAUGUUGUCACGUGUGUCCAUGUAUGUCUCAUGUGAGUCCAUGUAUGUCCCAUGUCAGUCCAUGUGUGUUCCAUGUGAGUCCAUGUGCAUCCCAUGUUGUCACGUGUGUCCAUGUAUGUCCCAUGUGAGUACAUGCGUGUCCCAUGUGUCCUCAUGUGCAUCCCAUGUUGUCAGACGUGUGCCAUGUGUGUCCACGUGUGUCCCAUGUCCCCACACAUGUGCUGUGCUACAUGCAUGUGCUGUUACACACAUGUGCUGCGCCCCACUCAUGUCCUGUGCUACAUCCAUGUUCCUGUGCUACAUCCAUGUCCUAUGUUACACACAUGUCCUGUGCCCCACUCAUGUCCUGUGCUACAUACAUGUUCCUGUGCUACAUCCAUGUCCUGUGUUACAUACAUGUCCCUUGCCCCACAUGUGUUCCAUGCUACAUACAUGUCCUACACUACAUGCAUGUCCUAUGUUACACACAUGUCCUGUAACCCACACAUGUCCUGUGCUACAUCCAUGUCCUGUGUUACAUACAUGUCCUGUGUUACACACGUGUCCUAUGUUACAUACAUGUCCCGUGCCCCACACGUGUCCCAUGCUACAUACAUGUCCUCAGCUACAUACAUGUCCUAUGUUACACACAUGUCCUGUACCCUCCACACAUCCUGUGCUACAUACAUGUCCUAUGUUAUAUCCAUGUCCUAUGUUACACACAUAUCCUGUGCUACAUACAUGUCCCAUGCCCCACACGUGUUCCAUGCUACAUACAUGCCCUCAGCUACAUCCAUGUCCUAUGUUACACACGUGUCCUGUGCCCCACACAUAUCCUGUGCUACAUACAUGUCCUGUGUUACAUCCAUGUCCUAUGUUACAUACAUGUCCUGUACCCUCCACACAUCCUGUGCUACAUACAUGUCCUAUGUUACAUACAUGUCCUGUGCUACAUACAUGUCCUGUGUUACAUACAUGUCCUGUAUCCUGCACGUAUCCUAUGCUACAUACAUGUCCUAUGUUACACACAUGUCCUAUGUUACAUCCAUGUCCUAUGUUACAUACAUGUCCUAUGCUACAUCCAUGUCCUGUGUUACACACAUGUCCUAUGUUACACACAUGUCCCAUGCCCCACACGUGUCCCGUGCUACAUACGUGUGCUACGCUACAUCCAUGUCCCCACCCAAAUAUCCCCC
This 1983-nucleotide long non-coding RNA is filed under the name Chrysolophus pictus (golden pheasant). RNAcentral's name for it is "lncRNA (ENSCPIG00010005883.1)". Lineage: Eukaryota; Metazoa; Chordata; Aves; Galliformes; Phasianidae. The record is from RNAcentral.